AAAACAAAUCAGUCUCUUCUGUCAUUUAAAUCGCACGGUUUUUUAUUUAAAAAAUAGUAUUAAAUCUUUAUAUUUUUUGUUUACCAUAUGGUUUCACCGAUAUUUAUAUUCUAGUACUGAAAAUGUCAGUAACGAAUAGAAGGUUUAGGUUAGGAAAUCGCAGUUUCAUGAAUCGGAUUUUCUACACAAUUUAUUUUUAAAAAUAUCGUGGUUUCAAUGGUAAAUUGUCAAAACUAAUAGCAACCAAUUAUCAUUGUUAUUAUUGUUUAUAUUUUAUUAAUUAUACCUGUGAGCUUUUUUAUAUCAUUCGUAUUACACAUCAAUGUGGAUUUUAUCGUUACGAUUUUUCGUACAACUAAUAAUUGUGAUUUCAGAUUUAUCUCCUUGAGUUAGUUAUUUUAUCAUAACUAUGGGUUGUUCAUAUUAUACUGGGCAUCAAUUGAUCAUCAUGGAUACCUCCAAAGAAUUGGAAAAAUUCAUCAAAAAAAGUUUAAAACAGUUGCGUCGUACCAAAGAUCCGAGUUCCUUUAAAACAAUGUUAAAACGUAUGAAUGAAGUCGUUCAAGAACUGAACAGUGGAAAACGACGGCCAAAUAAUGCUACCAAAAUAUUUGAUGUACUUACCGUUCUCUUCUCAAAAGAAUUAGGUAGUGAACAAACAGAAAUGAUUGUUGAUGACAAAUUUAGCAAGUCGAAUUCUCCAGCAAGUUUAUUACCAAAUACGUCAAAUUGCAUACAAGAGGAGUAUUCAUACCAGUCGCCUACCAAUUCAUUGGAACAGGCUAAUUCAAAUUGAGCCAUAAAUAUUGAUUCAGAUUCGGAAAUUAAAAUUGAAGAUUUAUAUUCCUGUUGUAUUUGCAAUUAUGUAGAUAACACAAAAUGAUAGGCUUUGAAUAAAUAUUAAUUUUUUUUACAAAGAAAGUUUUGUAUAUAUUGGGAACAGUCUGAUACAAUGCUCGAAUUGUUAUUCUAUCUAUCAUGAAAAUUACCAAAUUCCACCAAUAACGGACGUUAUCUUGAAUGACCUACGAAUGGUUUAUUACUGUAGUAAUUGUGUACAGAGUGACUCGAGGAAAGUUAAAUGUUCAGCAGAAAAGGGAAGUAAGAAAAGGUCUUUUAAAAUCACUUCUGGAACAAAAUCAAAGAAAUCGUCUAGUAGACUUCUCAUAGUUAGUUAUUUAAAAUGAUAUUUUUUAAUUACAAUAUGUUAUUACUAGGGAACGGAUUUUAAUUUAAAUAAAUAUUUUUGUGUUGUUUUAAUAACCGAAAGUUAUUGAUAUAUGUGUACGUUUCAUUUCAUUU
RNAcentral lists this unclassified non-coding RNA (1302 nucleotides) under Sipha flava (yellow sugarcane aphid). RNAcentral describes it as "uncharacterized LOC112681116, transcript variant X1". Lineage: Eukaryota; Metazoa; Arthropoda; Insecta; Hemiptera; Aphididae. The record is from RNAcentral.